GCUUCACUGGGCUGUGCGCAGUGGCUCUCUUGCUUGCUGUCUCUCAGGAACAUUCAGUAUAACAGUGCGCUUACCUUUGUCCCCACAGUCUGGAAAGUACUUCACAUAUUCUCUUCUAAACUGAACAACAAUAGCAUUGUUAAAUACACAUUCUCCCACGCCGUUUGAAAUCGAAAUAUUAUAGUCAUGUGCGGCUGAAAUUGAUCUUUUAUGAUUUCCAUUGAUGAACCUGAGAGCCAAAGGAGGAAGAUCAAAACUGUGGUGUUAAGGGUUUAAAAUAGAAAACAUUUAAAGUACUGUUCAUUCUUAAUAUUCUUCCAAGCAUCCCUCCUACCGCCUGGUAUAUGUGCUCAUUUUCACUGCUGAUGCCAGCCCCUAAGAGAGGACACACAGAAACAGCUCCUGCACCAACAGUGGAAGGUGAGGUAAACAAAACUUUCAUACAUCUCACUGUGUAUUCACAAUGUCCUUUUCUAAGCUGUAAACACAUCCUGCUUUUAUUUCAGGACCAUAAUACGGGUACACAGACAUAGAAAAAAAUCUCAAUAUUACGUAGUCCAGCUGCACACUGAACAGCCAUCUGCUUGGGACUACUCCCAUCCUUCAUUGAGAACACUAUAAUUGGCCAUCAGGAACUCUCGAGACGAUUUGAUAAGUGGCUUCAUAACACAAAAUCAUAGAAUCAUUAAGGUUGGAAAAGACCUCCAAGAUAAUCUAGUCCAACUGUCAACCCAUCAUCAAUAUUGCCCACUAACCAUGACCCUCAGUGCCACAUCUACGUGUUUCUUGAACACCUCCAGGGAUGGUGACUCCACCACUCCCCUGGGCAGCCUGUGCCUGUGCCUGACUACUGUUUCAGAGAAGAACUUUUUUUUUCCUAAAAUAAUAUCUAUGUGGACCUUGUAUUUUCAGUUUCAGAGUUCUACCUUAACAAAGCAGUGUAAGAAGGUGCUUUGAAAUGUAUAUUGACCGUAGGAACCAACACAUCCCAGUCUGGCUUCUCUGUGGAUUUUACCAUUGGAGGAGGUCCCAAAGCCCAGUGGCUCUGAGGAAGUGCCUCAUAACUGUGGGGAAUUCCUGCCACGGAGACAUCUCACAUGCUAUGCAGAGCCACGCAGUGCCCGUGCUCCACUCCUACAAAUACAGCAGCGCGUGGCUCAGGCCCAACUCCCUCAGCCUGUCCUCAUAGGAGAGGUGUUCCACCCCUUGGGUCAUUUCUGUGGCCCUCCUCCGGAUGCACUCCAACAGCUCCAUGUCUCUCCCGUACUGAGGACUCCACAUCUGGACGCGGUACUCCAGGUGAGGUCUCACCUCAGGGCAGGCAGAGCAGAGGGGCAGGAUCACCUCCCUCUCCCUGCUGGCCACUCUUCCUUUGAUGCAGCCCAGGAUACGGUUGGCUCUUCUUUUAAAAAGACAAGAAAUUUUACUCCACCGCUUUUCCAGCGAGCGGCACCGCUGUC
RNAcentral lists this long non-coding RNA (1460 nucleotides) under Gallus gallus (chicken). RNAcentral's name for it is "lncRNA (ENSGALG00010020035.1)". The record is from RNAcentral. Lineage: Eukaryota; Metazoa; Chordata; Aves; Galliformes; Phasianidae.